GAUGAACGCUGGCGGCGUGCCUAAUACAUGCAAGUCGAGCGAACAGACGAGGAGCUUGCUCCUCUGACGUUAGCGGCGGACGGGUGAGUAACACGUGGAUAACCUACCUAUAAGACUGGGAUAACUUCGGGAAACCGGAGCUAAUACCGGAUAAUAUAUUGAACCGCAUGGUUCAAUAGUGAAAGACGGUUUUGCUGUCACUUAUAGAUGGAUCCGCGCCGCAUUAGCUAGUUGGUAAGGUAACGGCUUACCAAGGCAACGAUGCGUAGCCGACCUGAGAGGGUGAUAGGCCACACUGGAAGUGAGACACGGUCCAGACGCCUACGGGAGGCAGCAGUAGGGAAUCUUCCGCAAUGGGCGAAAGCAUGACGGAGCAACGCCGCGUGAGUGAUGAAGGUCUUCGGAUCGUAAAACUCUGUUAUUAGGGAAGAACAAAUGUGUAAGUAACUAUGCACGUCUUGACGGUACCUAAUCAGAAAGCCACGGCUAACUACGUG
Molecule: ribosomal RNA, 497 nt
Filed under: uncultured bacterium
Lineage: Bacteria
Description: partial 16S ribosomal RNA
Rfam family: Bacterial small subunit ribosomal RNA
Source: RNAcentral